UCCUGGUUAGCACUGUCGGUAGAGCGCUUCAGUGGAAAUGAAGAGGUCCCUGGUUCGAUACCAGGACCUGGCG
This is a non-coding RNA of Ixodes scapularis (black-legged tick), 73 nucleotides long. Lineage: Eukaryota; Metazoa; Arthropoda; Arachnida; Ixodida; Ixodidae. The record is from Rfam.